RNAcentral lists this ribosomal RNA (368 nucleotides) under uncultured organism. RNAcentral describes it as "bacterial SSU rRNA". It matches the Rfam family "Bacterial small subunit ribosomal RNA", at positions 526 to 896 of the family's 1533-position model. The record is from RNAcentral.
CGGAGGGUGCAAGCGUUAUCCGGAUUCACUGGGUUUAAAGGGUGCGUAGGCGGAUAGGUAAGUCCGUGGUGAAAUCCUGCAGCUUAACUGCAGAACUGCCAUGGAUACUCUCUAUCUUGAAUGUCGUGGAGGUUAGCAGAAUAUGUCAUGUAGCGGUGAAAUGCUUAGAUAUGACAUAGAAUACCCAUUGCGAAGGCAGCUAACUACGCGAUAAUUGACGCUGAUGCACGAAAGCGUGGGGAUCAAACAGGAUUAGAUACCCUGGUAGUCCACGCCCUAAACGAUGAUUACUCGACAUUGGCGAUACACAGUCAGUGUCUGAGCGAAAGCAUUAAGUAAUCCACCUGGGAAGUACGAUCGCAAGAUUG